GGGGUUGUUCAUUUAGAUGAGUACAAGAUUUCUAUUUUCCUAGAUUUUAUUUUAUUUUGAUUGCUUUUUUCUCUUUCUUUCCCUAUUUGAACUAUUAUCUGUGAACUACUAUUAGUUCACUACAAACAAUGAUCAGAUCCCUUCACCAUAGACAAAUGAACCGUUGAUGCUACCAACUACAAAAGAGGAGGGUGAGGUUGUCAUUCCUUAAGCUUGGAUAUCUACUAACUUCUAGUAUUUGGGAUUGUUUUCU
RNAcentral lists this long non-coding RNA (253 nucleotides) under Prunus persica (peach). Its description in RNAcentral is "long non-coding RNA (PPER_LNC005591)". Lineage: Eukaryota; Viridiplantae; Streptophyta; Magnoliopsida; Rosales; Rosaceae. The record is from RNAcentral.